GGGUGGCUCACCUCAGGUAUUUGCACUGCUCUCACGUCCCAGGAAGGUGUUUUCAGCUUUGGGACACGUUGGGUUCCUGAUUGAGCUCGAGAGCAUCCUCUGGCUGCUGCUGCUUCCUGACCCUUUAAAUCAGUUCUGCUUCCAGGUACAUUGACGCUGAUCCAUUGAUCUUCCCCUCAGCUUCCUGCUGCACUACACAAAAUUCCUUUUGGAGUUCUUAUAGGCAUCUUCCUGGCUUCUUAGGAGAAGACCCAGCAACUGAGCUGUGGCAAACUGGGCAUUUUCAGCUCUCCUGACCUCAGUUGCUGGUUCCCCAGUCCUGCCUGUGCCUAACAGGCUUGCAGUGUGUCCCAGAGCACCUCUGGACCCCAGGUGGGCUGAGGUCAGGAUUUCCUUCUUGGGAAGUAUUGCAGAACUCCAUGGUGUGCAGCAGAUAACUGAAUCCAACAGGUCCCUGCAGCUGACAGCGGUGAGGCAGCUGGAGAGAGACAGCUAAAGCUCUCUGUGCAUCCACACAGGCUCAUCUUACUGGUGGCAUUCUGCCCA
This 546-nucleotide long non-coding RNA is filed under the name Corvus moneduloides (New Caledonian crow). RNAcentral's name for it is "lncRNA (ENSCMUG00000016845.1)". Lineage: Eukaryota; Metazoa; Chordata; Aves; Passeriformes; Corvidae. The record is from RNAcentral.